Long non-coding RNA from Equus caballus (horse), 8214 nucleotides. The record is from Ensembl. Lineage: Eukaryota; Metazoa; Chordata; Mammalia; Perissodactyla; Equidae.
AGAAAUAUUUGCAGAGCUUAUUUGUUAGGAAUUACUCAUAAAUGAGAAGUUAAUCUUUUGGAAAAUUUUCUCAGGAUUUCAAAGUCAAGAGCCAGUUUACGAGAAUAAUAUAAUACAUUUCUGUUGACAAAGCACUGUUAAAUGCAUGCUGUUGUUGACUCAUAACAGUUGUGUGACGUUGCUGCUAUCAUCAUUCUUUUUUUAAAGCUGAGGGAACAGAGGCUCAGAUACACACUUCUUAGGCUUCCGUUCUUUCCUCUGAGUCACGUAAUACUCCCACUAUAUCCCACGUCUUCCCUUUGCCUUGUUCAUUUCCAAGACAACCAUGGGUGUGUAAAUUUUCAAGGUAGGAUGCCAAUAUCAACUUCUUGUUUUUGAAUAGUUUGAUGAGCUUUAUUAAAACUUUUAUUUUUAAAGAAGUUGAUUGUGAUAAUUUAUAGUCUCUUCAGACACUAUUUAUAACAAUGUUUGGCACAUAGUAAGAACUCAGAUAUUUGUGAAAUGAAUAGGUAAAGUAUAUAAGAUGGAAAGGGAGACUUUUAAAGGAAGCAUUCCACAUUUCAUUGUGUACAAUGAAGGAAGUCAUUUGGAGGGCAGAGAAAAUAAAAAUGGAAGCUGAGGUCAUGUAGCGCCUUGUUACUUGAGGUAUGGUUCUUGAACCAGUAGCAUGGGCAUCACUUGGAAAUUGUUAGGAAUGCAGAAUCAUAGGCUCCAUCCAAAACUGGUGUAUUGGUCUGCCAUUGUCAGUGGUUCUCAACACUGAUUACACAUUAGAAUUACCUGGGGAAGUAAAAAUAAAAUAAAAUAGUCAGUCCUCACUUAUAGAUCAUUUAAAUAUAGCGUCUGGAUAUGCUGUAGUAUAAAGUCCUCAAUAGACGCCAGAACAUCUCAGCCUGUUGCUGGCAAGACACUGGAUUUAGUUUAAGAUACUGUGUCUCAGUGGAGCCCAGUUAUCUCAUUUGUAAUAAGGUGGGGGUCAUUUGAAGGUCCCUAAAGCCUAUUAUAUUCCUAACAUUCAGCAAUUCAAAGAAAAUGGACGCCCAUCUGUAGUAAAUCCUAAUUAUGUUGAAGAUUCUCCACCUUUGUGGCUUUAUAGUGGUGUUUAUGCUAAGUGAUUGUGAACCGUUGAAAAAACUCCCUCCAGACUGUGAGGAACUGCCUUGCUCCCGGCUUCUUCACUAGAUGUUUAUGCUGCUUUCUUUUGUCAAUGCGUUCAAAGCCAACCAUUUUUUUUUUUUUAAUUAAGAUUAUGAUAGAUUACAACCUUGUGAGAUUUCAGUUGUACAUUAUUGUUAGUCAUGUUGUGGGUACACCACUUCGCCCUUUGUGCCCUCCCCCCACCCUGCCUUUUCCCUGGUAACCACUGAUCAGUUCUCCUUGUCUAUAUGUUAACUUCCACCUUAUAAGUGGAGUCAUAUAGAAUUCGUCUUUCUCUGUCUGGCUUAUUUUGCUUAACAUAAUACCCUCAAGGUCCAUCCAUGUUGAUGCGAAUGGAACAAUUUGGUCCUUUUUUAUGGCUGAGUAGUAUUCCAUUGUGUAUAUAUACACCGUAUCUUCUUUAUCCAAUCAUCGGUUGCUGGGCACCUAGGUUGGUUCCACAUCUUGGCUAUUGUAGAUAAUGCUGCGAUGAACAUAGGGGUGCAUGGGACUCUUGGGAUUGCUGAUUUCAGGUUCUUAGGAUAGAUACCCAGUAGUGGGAUGGCUGGGUCAUAGGGUAUUUCUAUUUUUAACUUUUUGAGAAAUCUCCAUACUGUUUUCCAUAGUGGCUGUACCAGUUUGCAUUCCCACCAACAGUGUAUGAGGGUUCCUUUUUCUCCACAACCUCUCCAACAUUUGUCACUCUUGGUUUUGGAUAUUUUUGCCAUUCUAACAGGUGUAAGGUGAUAUCUUAGUGUAGUUUUGAUUUGCAUUUCCCUGAUGAUUAGUGAUGAUGAACAUCUUUUCAUGUGUCUAUUGGCCAUACUUAUAUCUUCUUUGGAGAAAUGUCUGUUCAUGUCCUCUGCCCAAUCUUUGAUCGGUUUGUUUGUUUUUUUGUUGUUAAGCUGUGUGAGUUCUUUGUAUAUUAUGGAGAUUAAUCCUUUGUUGGAUAAGUAGCUUGUAAAUAUUUUUUCCCAAUUAGUGGGCUGUUUUUUUGUUUCAAUCCUGUUUUCCCUUGCCUUGAAGAAACUCUUUAGUCUGAUGAAGUCCCAUUUGUUUAUUCUUUCUGUUGUUUCCCUCAUCUGAGGAGUUAUAGUGUCUGAAAAGAUUCUUUUGAAACUGAUGUCAAAGAGUGUACUGCCUAUAUUCUCUUCUAGAAGACUUAUUGUUUCAGGCCUAAUCUUUAGGUCUUUGAUCCAUUUUGAGUUUAUUUUUGUGAAUGGUGAAAAAGAAUGGUCAAUUUUCAUUCUUUUACAUGUGGCUGUCCAGUUUUCCCAGCACCAUUUGUUGAAGAGACUUUCUUUUCUCCAUUGUAGGCCUUCAGCUCCUUUGUCAAAGAUUAGCUGUCCAUAGAUGUGUGGUUUUAUCUCUGGCCUUUCAAUUCUGUUCCAUUGAUCUGUGCACCUGUUUUUGUACCAGUACCAUGCUGUUUUGACCACUGUAGCUUUGUAGUAUGUUUUGAAAUCGGAGAUUGUGAUGCCUCGAGCUUUGUUUUUCUUACUCAGGAUUGUCAAAGCCAACCAUUUUAUGAGAUAAAUUUUGGCCCUGGGCAGGAAGAGACCUACAAAGACCUUGACUUAACAUGGGCUCAGUUCUUGCUGCUGGAGAUAGAGGUCUCACUAGAGGUAUAUCCUUUACUGUUUUAGUGGAUUUUCUUGAAUUUUUCCUCCUGAUCUUUUAUCUGGAGUAAAGCUUCAUGCAGAGCAAUAGUAGGAAAUAUAAGGAAGGGGAGUUUGAGGAUCCAUGGGAAGUUCAUGAAGUGCAAUGUGAAGAGAACUGCCUUUGUUCAGGAGGCAGUGAGGAACUACUGAAAUUUGUUCAAUGAACCCAUUACUUGAGACACUGAAAUAUCCGUUGAAUGAGUGACUAAAAGUAUAGUAAGUACUGAAGAGAGAUGUAGCUAGGUUGAUUGAUUAAAGAAGGAUAAGAUGGCUAUUGGCUUAAAACAAAAAUGGGAAUGAGUUAAAUAUGGGAGGUGAUAAAGGCCAUAGAAAGAACAGAAAGAUGGGAGACAAGUUGGUACCCACUUGACUUAGGAGAAUGAUAUCACAUUAGAGUAGUUCUUCUCAAAUUAUAACAUGUGUAAGAAUGACCUGGAGAACUUGUAAACACACUGAUUCUUGGCCCCAGCUCCUAAGGUUCUUUUUAGUAAUCAGAGGUAAGAUCCAAGAAUUUUCAUUCUGUGCAAGUUCCCAGGGGAUGCUGAUGCUGCUGGUCUGAGGACCACAUUUCUAAUAGCACUACUUUAGGGUCUGGGACCUGGAGUUGGAAUAUUUUGUUUUCAGUUUUGGUUCUGCUACCUACUGACUGUGUUAUCUCAAGCAAAUCUAUUACCUCUCCUCGGACAAUGCUUAAAAUACUAUAACGUAUCAUUUACUUGGGAUGUUGUUAAAAAUGCAGAUUCUGAUUCAGCUGGUCUGGGAUGGGGCUGAAUUUCUGUGUGUCUGACAAGUUCCGACGUGAUACGUUGCUUGUCCUAGGAACAAGUUAGCAAGUUUCUAGGCCAUUACUUCUCCCAUGACCCACAUGCUUAUUGUUACAAUGAAAUGAAAGCAUAUAAGCUGAAAAAAACUCUGCAAAUUGUAAAACAAAAUGUUCAUGUAGGGUAAUAGUAGUAGAGUGAUAGAGAAAGGAAAUGGAAGAUAUAACUGGGUUUUGAGCUGACUAUCUAGGAGAAUUUUCACACAUUUCUAGAAAUAGAGAAGUUGGGAAAAAGAACUGAUUUAAGAAAAAUGUUGACUUGGGGGAAAAGUAGCAGGCAGUUGAAAACAUAAGACAGAAAUAAGCUUGAAAAAAAAUUUAGUCUUGAGAUACCAAUUUAGGAGUUGUAUAUAUAUGGUUGAAUGAUAUUUUUGAGUAUGUGGGUGUACAGAAAGAAAAGAGAUUAAAUACAGAAUCUGGAAAGAGACAACAUUUGGAAGAUAGGAGAAGGAAGAGGUAUCGUCAAAAGAUGGAUCAUAUUCUAGCACUUUGUCAUAGGGUCAUCACUUGUCCAAGCCUGAGCUGUGUCAACGGAUUUUACAUCCUCAUGGUUGAGGAUGACAGUUGGUUGAGUUUUCUAGGCAUUACCUUACUUGGAUAUUAUGGAAGCAUCCGUUUGUGUGUGAGGGUUAUAAGCAGCUGCCCCAUGGAUGAUGGAAGAUACACACCCAGGAUUUGUUAGUGUCUUGGAACAAGUCAUAGGCAUUGAGAAAAUAGAACAAUUGAGGGAGAUCGUGAAUUUUAUAAAAGAUAGAAGGGAGAAGAAGUGAGGGAUUCUGCAACUGGAUAUCCAUAAAAAAGAUGUUAAUUCCUUGCUUUGUCAAUCAAUUCAGAUAUUUGAACAUCUAUGAAGCUCAAGAGAAAAUGCAGUUCAGCAGCUUAUGGAGAGUAGCAUUUUCACAGAGAUAAUUGAUCCAUUGGGUAAAAUAAUAAGUAGAUUUACCUGACUGUUAAUCAAAGCAUAAUUUUAAAAGAAAAGCAUGAUUAGUUUAAGACACAGUGUAUUUUUACAUGUCGUGAUGAUGUUAUGAUAUGCUUAAGGAUGCUUCCAAAUAAUGACCUUGGAUACUAUGAAAGGUUAACACGAAUUCUGUUUUUCUUUUUCCCAUAUAUCAUUUACUCUUUUGCUUUUUUGGUACUUUUGUUUUCCCUCAUAAAUUUUAAAGUGCUCAGUGUUAGAAUCUGGAAUUUUAAAGUUUGAUUUGCAAUAAUCAAAACUCCAAAUCAACAGAGGUCUCUUUCUAACAUUGAUUUACUCUCAGAGGGUCAUUUGUAAACGUAUUCAUUACAGACACCCUCCGCGAAUAUUCAAUAAUACAUCAAUCAUUGAGCUGUUUAUGUUAAGAGACACAAUUGAAAUUGAACAAUAUAAUUCAAUAAAAUUACUGGUCUUUUUAUUUAUUCCUCUCAACCCUAGUUGCUCAGUCACUGUAAACAGAUCCAUUGAAAACAAUUCGCUUUUCUGUUGUUUCAUGAUUGAUCUUCUCAAACACAUGAUUAUUCUUAAUUCAGACAAAAUAUUUCAUUUCUUUAAGAACAUGAAAAAGAAUUAGAGCCAGCUGAAUGCAGUAAGGGAUGAGGAAGGAAGACACUCAAUAAAAGGAAAUCAAACCUGUUUACAAGUCUGGGAUCCAAACACUUGUGAGCAUUCACAGAGGAAUUAAAGAUAGAUAGAGGAGAAAGGGCAAGAGAUAAGAAUAAGAUAUGCUUCCUGAAGACCGAAGAGCUCAAGGUUAAAUAGAGGGCACUGAACAAGUAAAGCUGUGCUAAAAAAGAACCGUGGCCAAGGCAGGGAUGUUCUGAUACCCGAACAGUCGUGCAGAUGGAAGUCUGGCCAGCAAAACCAUAAAGCAUUGAAUCUAACUAUUCAUUGCCCUGGAGGUUUCAGUUAGUUAAUAUUGAACAGGAAUUCCAGGAAGGAUUUCUGUUUUUAAAUUAUAGAACAUGCUGGUAUAUGUUCAUAAACAGCUGGAUUCCUGGAAUGAGUGCGACCACUGCAGUGCCACUUGACCUUAGGAGUGGUGUGACCCAGGGUCUUCCUUUAUCUUCUUAAACACCGCUACAACGUAAGAUCCUUGAGAACAGACAUUGUUGUUCAUCACCUUAUCCUCUGGACUGUGCCUGGCACAAGCAUUAAUGGGUAUAAAUCUUAAGAAGGCCUAAAAGCAUCAGCUUUUGUGCUUUGAGUCGUCCCAAGCUGCCGUGUAAGAAGUCUGGCUACCCUGCCAUAGAAAUCCUCAUGCAGAGAUGAUGGGGAGAGACCACAGGAAGAAGAAGAGAGACAGGAGAGGCCAUGCCAUCCCAGUAGCUGUCCCAGUUUUCCAAGUGAGCCUAGACUUCCAGCCAUUUCCACCGAGUCUCAGAUAUGUGAGCCCAUCUGCCACCUGACUGCAGCUUCAGCUUCGUUAUAGACCCUAAGAAGACCAGGAGAGAAACCAUAGAGCUGGGCCCCAGUGAGCCCACCGAACUGUGAGAAGUGACAACAUGGCCAUUGUUGUAAGUGCCUGGGCUUUGUGAGAGUUUGUAACGGAGCAGCAGGUGACCAAACAACUGGGUAGUUUGCAUGCAUUUCUUCCUUUCUUUUCAUUCCUUUUCUCCCUUGCUCUUCAUGUUUCUCAUAGUUUAGUCCUUGGUCUUCUGUUUCUCUCCCUCCAGUAUACUCUUUGUAGAGAGCUAGCUUAUUCUCACAGCUUCAAGGACUUUCUGAUCAUGAUUCCAUGAUCUCUCUCUAUUCAUACCCUUUCAUCUGUUUUAUGGAACUGCACCUCCAUCAGCUUAGUGAAUGCUUCUUUUCCUUAAACUCUUCACUACGAUCAUAAGACUUUUCCAUUUAAGGGUUUCAAUAACCAUCCAUAUAAAUUCAAGGCCCUCCACAUUCUGUUGACACUUACUAUCGAAGCUUACUUCUUUCACUUCCCAGCAUGUUCUCUUGUCAGUAGAUCUUCUUACUAUCCCAUAAGCAAUAACUGCUUCUAUGCCUUUGCUGACGAUGCUGCUUCUUCUGAAAUGUCCUCUUAACAUCCUCCUAUUUUUCAAAAUAUUUAUCAUUCCUCCAAUUUUAGCUUGCAUCCUACAGCUUUUUUAUCUUAAUUUUUUUCUAACUUCUCUUUCAUUGCCUUUCUUCAUCUCUGUGUUUCUACAGGAUUGAUCAUACAAUUUCUAUCCUUUCACAUAUUAUUUUAUAUGUUGGAUAUUGGGUAUGCAUUAUUGGCUACUAAUCAUUAUAGAUGCAGGUUGGUCUAAUAUUGAAGAUAUUCUCUCUUGACGUUAUAUAGUUCAAUUCAUGAGCAGAAUAUCAAGAUUUAGAAAGACAUUUGGAAAUUGGCAUAGUGGUUUCAUAGUUAUUGGUGUCGUAUGACUAAUGUACAAAGUGCAAGAAGUCAGGGGGCAGGAGAAGAUGGUGGGAAGGUGAGACAAUGAAAAGCCUCCUGUGCUGUGCAAAAGAUUUUGUAGUUUACCCUGUAGAUGCUAGGACACCAUGAAAAGAUUUUAGCAGGAGAGUAAAAGCCACUAGUUUCUAUUUUUGCAAAAUGAGACUGCUGCUGUCAAGAGAACAGAUUGAAGGUUGUGUUUUGGUGGUAGGGGAUGCAGAGGAAUGUAAAAGUGGUACCAGUGAGACGAGUUAGGAUGCUAAAACAAUCAUUAGGUCAGGUGAGAGAUGAUAAAAGCCUGAAUAGUAGCAGUGGGAGUUCAGAAGGGAGACAGAAGAGGUUUAUGAGGUGUCUUUAGGAAGAAGAAUUUUCAGAAUGCAGUGACCAAUUGGCUGAGGAGAGAGAACGAAUAUGACUCCCAGAUUGCUGAAUUGGGUAAUGGCUGUACCUCACACCAAGAUUGGGAAUGUACAAUGUGAAACAAGCAAAUGGGGUUGGGGAAUGGUCAGUUAUAUUUUAGUUGUUUUGAACUUGAAUUAUCUGUUGGAUAUCUAAGUGAAGAUGUCUGAAGGGUUAUGGAAAUAUAGGUUUGAAGCUUGAGAGAGAGGUCUGACUUAUAGAUAUAGAUUUGUGAAUCAUUACCAUAUAUGUGGUAAUAGAAAUCUUGAGAAUUAAUGAAAUUUCUCACAGAGAGUUUCAGUAGAAAAUGGAUCCCUGAAUACCAAUAAAAUUUGAAGGUAGGUGAAGAAGAGAAACACUUAAAGAAUGUGGGAGAAAAGGCUACCAAGGUGAAAGAAGGCAAGAGAACAGACUUCCAAGAAUGUGAUAUUGGUUGAGUGUUAAAGGCCCAUGGAGAGCUCAAGUUAAGAUAAGACUCAAAAUACACAAUGAAUUUAGUUUGACUGUUAGUUUGGGAAUUUUACUGAGGGUCUGAUGGUUUUAGUCUGGGCUGAAGAUGUGAAUUGCAAUGGCUUAAGUGGCUUAAGAGUGAAUGGGAAGGAAAGUAUGGCUGGGAAAAAAAUGAAAGUAAAUUAGUAACUUUAGUGAAAGUAAAUUAAUUAAAUUGUAAUAGAGGCAAUUGUUAAAGCAAUAGGACUUUUAUUUAAUUAUUUACUUAUUUUAAGAUUGGAGUGAUUUGAGUGUAUGCACCAAGGGAAAGAAACUUGUGAAGAAAAAGGGGAUAAAUAUAUAACAGCGAGAGAGAGAGAGAGAUGUGCAGAAAGGG